Molecule: long non-coding RNA, 13562 nt
Filed under: Gossypium barbadense (sea-island cotton)
Lineage: Eukaryota; Viridiplantae; Streptophyta; Magnoliopsida; Malvales; Malvaceae
Description: long non-coding RNA (GBAR_LNC001181)
Source: RNAcentral
UCGGGUGUUGCAGAUAAGUGGGGAGAGGAACGUGGAGAAGGAAGACAAGAAUGAUACGUGGCACCGGGUUGAACGGAGCAGCGGCAAGUUCAUGAGGAGGUUCAGGUUGCCUGAGAAUGCCAAGAUGGAUCAGGUUAAGGCUUCCAUGGAGAAUGGGGUGCUUACUGUCACUGUACCCAAGCUGGAAGUUAAAAAGCCUAAUGUUAAGGCUGUUGAGAUUUCUGGCUAAAAAUUUGCAACUUUUGAACCAGUUUACUUGAAAUUGUAUGUUUGAAGCUUGAAAUAAGUGACUUUUAUGUAUGAAUGUGGGAUUAAGUUGUGCAACUUGACCUGCAGUGAAUAAAACCAUCUUGUUAAUUCAUAAGUUAUCCCUUUUCACUCUAUUAAUUAUUAAUUUUCUUAUUUAACAAAAUGUUUUUCAUUCUUUAAUAACCCAAAAUUCUAUUUUUUUAGAAUCUAAAAUUCUAAUCUUAAAUUGAUGGUAAGGUUAAAUUUUUUACUUAAUUAUUAACUUUUUAAAUUAAAUAUUCUAAUAAUUCUCUCGGGAAACUGAUAUAAUUUUUUAUUAAUGUAAAAAUAAAUUUAAUUUAAUUUGUAAAUUUUAUUAAUUUAUAUCUUUUUAAAAAAAUUAAAAAAUCGAGUUAAUUUCUCAAUAAAAGUUUUGAAACUUUAUAAAAUUCAGAAAAUAUAAAAAUAAAAAAUAAGUCUAGAAAUUACCGAGUUAGAAAGAUGACAGUCAACUGCUAAAUUUAUAAAUCUACGUGGAUAUUUGAAAUUCAAUAUUUAUAUUUAAAAAUUAAUAAUAAUUUUUAUUAAGUUUGUAAUAAUUUACUUUCUUAAUUGUAUAGUAAUUUAUUUGGCCUUUUAAUUUUAUAAAAAAAUUAUUUUAUUUUUUGGUUUUUUUAGUUUUUAAAUUUUUUAUUCUAAAAUGAAUGAAAAUAGUUAAUUUUUUUUAACUUUUGCUGAUGUUACAUAUGCAUAAAAUCUCAUGUCAGUGACAUUUUAACAUUUAAUUAAUUUUUUAAAUUUAAAAAUUCAAAAAAGUUAUAAAACUAUUUUUAAAAAUUAAACAUCAUUAAAAUCUAUAAAAAAUAUUUUUAAAAUUUAAAAAAUUAAUUAAAUGUUAACGUGUCAUUUAUAUGGCAAUCUAUGUGUAUGUUACGUAAGUAAAGUUAACAAACGUUAAUUUUUCUAUCUAUUUUAAGAUGAUUUGAUAAAAAAAUACAAAUUCAAUAACUAAAAGAGGCGAGAAAAUAAAUAGAAGGUUAAAAUAUUUUUUAUAAAGUUGGAGGGAAAAAUCAUUAUACCAAAAAAACAACAAAAAAAACAACCAUAAUUGGAUUAGAAUUUUUAAAUAAGAAAAUAGAAAAUAUCAUAAUUCAAGUUAAAAUUUUUUUACAUAUUUUUAAUAUUUCGUAAUAAUUAAUAAUUUAUAUAGUAUUACCAUUUUUAAUAAUUUUUAGAUUUUUUAACAACUAUUUAUAAUUAUUUAACAUUUUUAAGAAGGGAUUAUUUGAUACACUGGUAGUAUAUUUUUUUUAUUCCACAAACAGUUUUAAAAAAUUUGACACGUGUCUUUUUUUUUAAAUAUUUUACUAUACCCUUAUAAUACACUUGUCAACCCUAACCUUACUUGUAGAGUUUAAAAACUCUACUGAUAAUAUACCAAAUAAUUCUCCUUUUAAUAAAUAUUUGAAAUUUACAUUUAGAAUUUAUCUAAAUUCAUUAUAGAUGUAAAUGUUUUUGUUAAUACUUUUAGUAUUUUCCUUUUUGAAUAUAUGUUGAAGUAAUUAUUCACAAAUCAUACCAUGUGACAAUUUGGUCAAUCACAUUAAUAUUAUUAAUAAUAAAAUUGGUUAAUUAACGAUGUUAAAUAAAAUUGGUUAAUUAACGAUAUUUUUAACGGAAUAACUUAAUUAAUUAUUUUUUUUUGUUAUAACAACUCAAUUGAGUACAUUAUUUUAAGAACUCAAUUGAUUUUUUUUUUAAAAAAUUAACUAAAAACUUCUGACUUUUUAUUUAAUUAUGGUUUUGAUUUUAAUGCAUUCAAGGAGGAAAAUGAUCACAUGGGAAAUUAUUAAUUAUUUAUUUUUUGAAAAGUAUUUUUAAAAAGUGCAUGAAUAAGUGCUCUAAGAUUUAAGAUUUAAGUGUUUAAUAUUAUAGUUAAAAAGUACCUUCAAAAAAUAAAAUGUUCAUUUUAAAUAUGAUAUAAUAAACUAAAAAAAAUUAAGCAUUUAAAUACUAUUUAAAUUCGUUAUAUUACAAUAUCUCAAUAAAAUAUAAAAAAUAAUUUACUAUAACUCAUUGUUAAUAUUUCAAUAUAUGAAAUACAAAUUUAAAUACUUUGAAGUAAAUAAUAUUAAUUAUUUAUAAAGUUUAAUUUGAAUAUAUAAAUUAUAUUUUAAAUAUUAAAAUAUAACCAUUAAGAAUUUAAAUAUAUAAUUUAUAUAUUUGAAAUAAAUUUCAAUAAAAAUAAUUUUACAUCUAAUAUAAAUAUUACAUAAGAUACAUUGAAUUAUAAAUAAAUGUUAAAAAUGUCAUUUGAAUCUAAAAAUAUUUUUUUUUUCAAACGCAAAAGCUAAAAAAGAACUUUUUUUACCUUUUGAUUCAUAAGCACUUUUCAAAUGUAUUUUAACUCUAAAAGCUAUUUGUUUAGCAUUGUUUAUGACUUUAAAAAUACAUUUAACGCUAAAAGUACUUUUAAAAAGUAAUGUUAAAUACACUUAACUAAACAUGGUUAAAUUUGAUAUGAUAGGAGAAUCAUUUACACUACAAACCUUACAUGGUUAAUUGUAAAUACAGGAGGCAUGGUGUAACUAUGAAUGAUUUGGAGAUAUGAGUUGAAUCUUGGUUUGCAAAACUAUCCUAUAUACUUUCAAAAUAAGAUAAAAUUAAGGGGGAAUUCUAGUUUUCAUUACCAUAGAUUUAAUUUGUACAUAUCUAUUUUGUGUCAAUUUUUUAGUCAAAUCGAAUUAGAUAAAAUCUUUAAAUAAGUUGUGAAACUAUCUCAAAAUAAAUUAUUUUUCAUUCACUAGACUUAAAUUCAAGGGUCAUUGAAUUAUUUACCACUUGACCCAAUAAAAACUGCUUUAAUAUUUAUACUUUAAUUUUGUAUACUUUUUAUCUCUAUUUUUUUUAAAAAUGAAUAUUUUUAAAUUUUUAUAAAAUUAUUAAUUAAUCAAAAUAAUUAAUAUCACUUGACCCAAUAAAAAUUGCUUUAAUCUCUAUGUUUUAAUUUUGUAUACUUUAAAUUUAAAUGUCUGUUAUUUCCUAGCACGUCUCUGUCUGCGUUCCUUAGUAGGUCUCUGUUUGAAUUUGUUUUUGUGUUUUUCCUCUCUUUGGGGCUGGUGUCGACAAAAUCUUCUACUUUCAACGAUUUACUGGCUUUUUCUUCUAUUCAAAAUUGGUUUCCUUUGGCUUUUGGUAAAAGUACUGGAUCUCGGUAACAUUGAGAAGGGUCUGCAGAUCUCUUAUUAGAUGAUAAGGAGGACGAAGUUCUGCAAGCACAAAGAGAUCCGGAGUCAGUAGACCAGGAUGUUGAUUUUUGCUUGGUUAGUUACUUUUUGACAGCUAGUGUUAUAAACUUCUCGGCGAUGAGAGGCACGAUAGCAAACCUUUGGCAUCCAAAGAGGUCCAGAUCUCAGAUCUAGGGGAGAAGAGGUUUCUAUUUAAAAUUUUUUCAUAAGAUAGAUUUAGAGAGAAGGGUUCUCCAUGGACUUUUAAUAAUUAUCUAUUGUUACUUCAUUGGCUAGUGGAAGGGGAAGAUUCGCUAAGGGUGUCAUUAAUUUAUGCAAACUUUUGGGUUCAAAUUUAUAGAGCGCCAACGAGAUUUUAUAUAGAGAAUCUAGCACACCAAAUUGGGGAAUUUUUUAGGGGUUUUUUGGAGUUCGAUGGAACUAACUUGGGAAAGGGUUUAUGCACUAAAUUACGAGUAAGGGUUCAAUUGGACGUUAGGAAACCCUUAAAAAAAAGGAAAAAGAUCAUGUUUUCAGUUGGGGUGACUUCUUAUAUUAAGUUUCAAUACAAACACCUGACUCUUUUUUGUUUCUUUUACAGAGAUAGAUCACGAUUUGGAAGACAUUACAAUUAUAGGUGGAGAUGGUAAAAAGCGACCUAGAAGGGAGGGCGUCAAUCUUGUUGAGGGAGGGGAGUUGGGCUCAUUGAUGGUCAAAAGUAGGAAAGAAACCGGAGAUAAUUUUUUUAUAUCGACGGCUGCCAAAGGGGAAGCCAACUGGUCACAAUGAAAACUUUUUGCUAAAACGUCCGUGGUUUGGGGAGGCCAAUGAGCGUUAAAAGACUUUGGCAUAUGCUGAAGAUGUAUAAUCUGUAGAUUGUUUUCCAUAUGGAGACAAAGCUAAAUUCUACAAUGAUGAAGAAUGUUCGUAGAAAAUGUGGUUUUCUUAAUGGGAUUGAUGUUGGAAUUGAUGGUUCAAUAGGGGGUUUGAGUCUUGCAUGGAGAGGGAAUUUCACGAUUACUUUGAGGAGUUUCUCAAAAAAUCAUAUUGAUACGGAAGUUGUGGAAGGGGAAGAGGGUAGUAAAUGGAGGUUUACGGGUUUCUAUUGGGGCCCUAACGUACGUAAUAGAGAGGACACUUGAACUUUAUUAAAGACUUUAGGCCAGUCCCAAAAUCUCCUUUGGUUUGUGGGAGGUGAUUUUAAUAAAAUUCUAUAUUCUUUUGAAAAAAAAGGGGGGCUACAUAGGGAGGAAAGACAAAUGGAAGCUUUUAGGGAGGCCCUGAAUGAAUGCAGAUUGAUUAAUGUUAGGGAGAGAAGUAACUUUCCAGAAACUAAUAUUAGGGAGAGGUUUGACAAGGGGUAGGGAAUGAUAGCUGGAUGUGUAUGUUUCCCAAUGCAAUGUUGCGUCAUCUCUCACAUUCUUUUUUUGAUCACUGCCCGCUUCUUUUAUAGACAGAGACUGAUAUGGACAAUUGCCAGUUUAAGAGCUUUCAGUUUGAAUCAUGGUGGAUACUAGAAGAGUCUUUUGAACAGAAGAUUAAGGGCCUUUGAGGGGAAGGUGAUGAACAUGUCCUAACUAAGCUUGACAAGGUUCAAAGAGGUUUAAGACAGUGGGUGCAAAUGAUUAGAAACACGAAAUGGAGGGUUAAGAACGAAUUAUUUAGAAAACUGGAAAUACAAUUAUAAGGCAAUAGAGAUUAUGACAACCUUGCAGAGCUGAUUGAUACAAAAGUUCAAUUGAAUUUGGAGAUUGACAAAGACAAGUUAUUUUGGGAACAAAAGGCAAGGGCAAAUUGGCUACGAUUUGGUGACAAGAAUACCGCUUUCUUUUGUAACUUUACUUCCCAAACAAUGAGAACGAAUAGAAUAAGUGGGUUAUAAAAGAAGGAUGGAGGGAUUGAAAGGGGGGAGGAGGAAUUGGAAACUAUCGCUAGGCACUAUUUUUAAUCUUUUUUUGAGUCUAAAGGGAUAGGGGAUAUGGAUCAUAUUUUGUCGGGAGUCAUUCCUUAUAUCUUUGAUGACUUAAAUGCUUUGUUAACAACGUCUUAUAAUGAACAAGAGGUUUUAGAGGCUUUGAAUGGUAUGAGACCUACGAAGGCUUCUAGGAAUGAUGGUUUCCUAGUAAUUUUCUUUCAAAGAUGUUGGCAUAUUAUUGGUAAGGAUAUCACUUCUUAUUGUUUGGAAAUUUUAAAUAAAGGUAAAACCUUAGCUCCUCUAAAUCUUACAAACAUUGUGCUUAUUCCAAAAAUUUCAUGCACGAUGAAUUUAGCGAAUUUUAAGCCUAUAAGUUUAUGCACGGUUCUUUAUCAGAUUAUAGCUAAACUGAUAGGUAAUCAUUUCCAAAGGGUUUUGAAGGAUUGCAUUGAUGGGGCCUAAAGUGCUUUUGUGCCAGGACGAUUAAUUUCUAAUAAUAUUUUAUUGGCCUAUGAAAUUUUACAUUCUUUUCGACAAAAAAGGGUAGGGAGAAAACAUUUUAUGGCUCUUAAGCUUGACAUGAGCAAGGCGUAUGAUAGAGUGGAAUGGGAAUUUUUGAGACAAAUAAUGGAGCGAAUGGGUUUUGCAAGCAGUUGGAUGGGAACAAUUAUAAGGUGUAUCUCUUUGGUCUCUUAUUCUCAGGUAUUGAAUGGGAGGGUGGGGAAGAGGUUUGUGUUGAGUAGAGGACUUCUCCAAGGAGACCCAUUAAGUUCUUUUUUUUCCUUAUUUGUAGUGAAGGUUUAUCUACUCUUAUGAGGUUGGCUUUGGGAAACGGGUUGAUCAAAGGAGCCAAAGCAAGUAGGAUGGGUCCAUAAAUUACACAUAUUUUAUUUGUAGACGACUGUGUACUUUUUGGAGAAGCUAAUAAUAGAGGGGCCAAUAAUUUAAAACGAAUUCUAAAGGAGUAUGAACUUUUUUCAGGUCAAUGUAUUAAUUACGAUAAAUCAAUCGUUUGUUUUAGUCCAAACGUGAAUAAAGAAGAUCAAAAUUGAAUAUAAAAAAUUUAGGGGGUUCAAUAAUCAAAUGAGAUUGAAAGAUAUCUAGGUAUUCCAAAUAUGGUUGGAAGGCGAAAGAAAAUUGCUUUCCAGAUAUUGAAAGAUCGAGUUAAAAAGAGGAUAGAUAAUUGGAGCACAAGGUUGUUGUCACAAAGAAGGAGGGAAGCUUUUAUUAAAGAGGUUUUGCAAGCUAUUCCAACAUAUACAAUGUCUUGUUUUCUAUUACUGAAGUGGCUUUGUAAGAAGUUGGAAGGCAUUAUUGCGCGAUUUUUGUGGUACAAGGGUCAUAGAAGGAAAUGCAUUCAUUAGUGUCAGUGGACGAAACUAUGUGAUCUUAAAAAAAAUGGUGGAUUGGACUUUCGUUGUUUAUCUUCUUUUAAUAUUGCAUUAUUAGCUAAGUAAAGGUGGCUCCUUAUUAAUAAUUCUGAAUCGUUGUUAAGCUACGUACUUAAAGCUAAAUAUUACACAAAUUGCGAUUUUUUGAAGGCUCGGUUAAGGGGUUUACCUUCUUAUACCUGGCUAAGUAUUUGGUCGACGAAGAACUUGCUGUAAUAAGGCAUUGGUUAGAGGGUUGGAAAAGGGAUCGAAUCUCAAUCGAAGAGGAUUCUUGGCUUGCUGGGGCUGCAAAUUACAAAGUAGAUGGAAUAGUUAAUGAUAUUAACUUAAUUACAGUUUAUGACUUGAUUGACCAAUCACGCAGGGUUUGAAAUGUGAAUCUUAUUAAAUGUACCUUCGAAGAGAAUGAUGCUAACCUAAUAUUGUGAAUCUUGUUGGCUAGAAUAGAGCACGAGGACUUAGUUAUGUGGCGAGGUGAACCAUCAGGCACCUUCUCAGUAAGGAGCGCAUACAAAAUUCUCCUCAAUAGUUACAGAAGUUCUUAUUUUACAAUUAUCUCAGUAGCCACUAAAUUAUGGAACUUAAACUUGACACAAAGUAGAAAAUUACAGUCUGUAAAAUUUCAUGAAAUUAUUCGCCUACUCUUACUAAUUUAUAUAGCAAAAGAAUUAGAACUCUUUUAGCCUAUCCUAGAUACAGAUAUGGCCCAAGAUCAAUCAAUCAUAUUUUUCGGGAAUGUAAAGUAUCAAAAGAGACAUGGAAUGAACUCAACUUGUCAUAAAUAAUAUCUCAAAUCUAGUUAAAUAUUCAAGAGUGGCUAACCUGGGUUUUUCAGACUGGCAUUGUAACACCCCUAACCCGUAUCCUUCGUUGGAAUAGAAUUUCAAAGCAUUACCAAAUAAAUGUAAUCUAUAAUUCAUUGGUUUCGAAACAUUUCAAUAAUUAUAAUAUAAUUCAUCCUUAAACAUGCAUAAAGUCCCUUAUUCAAGCCUUUGAGGGCCUAAAAUCACUUUAAAAACGAUUUGGGACUAAAUUGGGAACAUUUGAAGAUUUUAAGAAAAAGAAAAAUUUAAUUACAGGGGUCACACGGCCAAGUCACACACCUGUGUAAUGGCCCCAAAUUCUCGAGUCAACGUUCGAGUGUUGACUUGAUAUUUAUUUUGGAAUUAGGUUUUAUUAGAAUUAAUUUGGGUGAAUUUUGAACAUUUUUAUAAGAAAUUAAAGAUAUUGGGAAGCUUAUGUGAAAUAGGGGGAAGAUAGAUGGCUAAUAUGGUGAUUUUACUAUUUUUGAAUAAAAAUCUUCUCCCAAUUAAUGAGAAAAGAUGGGUUGGUAGAUUGAGGUAUGGGAUAAAGUAGAUUUGUCUCUAUUUUUCUCUAUAUUAUAAUCACUCUAUUGUUUUUUUUUUCCUUUUUACAUUUCUUCAUUUUUUUUUCUUCUUUUCUUUCUAUAUAUUUUUUUUCCUUAGCAAAGUCAUGUAGAGGGAGAGAGAUUUGAGUGAAUUCUCACCAUUUUUUUCAUCUUUCAAUUCUAAAAAAAGGUAGGAGUCUUGAUCUAUUUUAAAAAAAAGUUUCAAGGAAGAAAAAAAAAUAUCUAUGUUCAUUAAGGAUGAAAGUGGAGGUUUUUGGAUGUUUGGAAGGUUUUGAGUUUGAAGAAGUCUCUACCCAUCUUCUCAUAUUUUAUUUAUUUAUUUAAAGUAUGUAUUUUUACAUCUUAUCAACUCUUAUUUUUUUAUUUUUUUGUGGGAAAUCUUAUGUGUUACAUGGUUAUUAGUUAAAGAGGGUGGUGAAUCUUCUAAAGCUAAGGGUAAAGGCAAAGUGAUGGAGAGCUAGGCAAGAAACUUUGUAGGUGUUCUUCCAUCAAGGUGAUACCCUCUAACUCUCCUAUACUUCUUGAUAAGUCAUAAAUACGAUGCUUGUGUGAUAAUACAUGCAUCUUAUAUGUCUUUGGGUAGAAAUCUUGUUUGAAUGAUUUAAAAAUAAAGCUAAAAAUUUAGUUAUGAAAUUUGUUAAAAAUAAAUUAUUACAUGAACAGUAAGUUAAAAAAUUCACCAUAAAUUCUGUAAAAAUAAUUAAGAAGUGAUCUAUACAUAGUUGUAACCGUGAGUUAGUCUAGUUUCCUUUAGAACAAACAGAGAUCGAUUUUGAUUUAUAUUUUAAAAGAUAUAAAUUUUUUAGUGUUGAAAGGUCAUAAAAAUCUGGCAGUAAAAUUCUUAUAAAACAGAUUUAGCAGUGACUUUGAAAAAUCACCAAAAAUUUUACAAGAUAAAAUAGGAAGUGAGCCUUAUAUCUCUAUAACCUUACAAAAGUCUAGUUUCGUUUAAAACAAACGGUGCUCAAUUUAGAUUAUAUAUUAAGAGUUAUUACUUUUUUAAUGAAAAAAUAUCAGAAUGUCAAGGUGGUAGACUGUCACAUCUCAUUAGUUAAUAUUUUAACUGGAAUGAUAAGCAAGUUGAAACGAGCAUGAGACUCGAAUGUCAUGGUUGUAUUUUUUUGUGAUUAUAUGUUUGAUGUUUUGUUUGCGCUCAACCUUCGAACUUUAAAUUAACUAGCAGCCAUGAGUAGCGUUCGGGAUAACCCUACAGAUAUCCAGGAUUAUUUGACUAGCAGCCAUAAGUAGCGCGGGACUAUCCAGAUACCCAAUUAUUUGAGCAAUAUGUACAAUUUAACAAGUUUGACAGUUUGAUAGGCAAGCAAAUUGGUUAUGUAGAUUUAAUGACUCAUGAUUUAAUUAUUCGAUACUCAUGUCAUGUUUCUAUGUAUACAUUUGAUUUGCAUGCUUAUAUUUAUGAAUUACUUGAAGUAUGGUAUAUUUGUUGUGUACCACUGAGCUUUUAAAGCUCAGCCUUUAAAUUGUCUUAAUGUUCAGAUUUAUAGACUUUUGUUCGUGUUCGAGGAACGAGGAACAUCAUCGACGAGAGACUCCUAACAUCACGUAUUCAGAGUACAAUACCUUAUCUAUUAAUGGGUAUUGUAUUCCUAAGGCCUUGUAUUUUUUUGUAGAUCUGUAACUCAUUUAUCAUUUUUGUUAUUUUCACUAUUUUGAUAUACGAUGAUAUUGGAGCUCCACAUAUUUUGUAUAACUACUUUUAUUACUAUUUUUAGUAUAACUAUGUAUGUUAUUUUCUCUAAUAUAAAAUAUAUUUUAAUAUUUGAAAAUUAUUUGAAAAUUUUGCUAAAUUACUCCGGUGAGCUUAUGUAGCGUCUUAGUAUUAGUGUACUUCGUAUUCGAGAUUAAGGUGUUACAACUCGUGUCUAGCCAUAUGAGCACUCAAAGUAGAGACACAUAGCUAUGUUUCAACCUAUGUAACCCACUAACUUGAGUCAUACAGUCAAGUCACACGCUCAUGUGCUAGGCCAUAUAACUCUCAAAAUGACUUCGCAUGCCCGUGUACUAGCCGUUUAUCUCACACGGUCAAGUUACACACCUGUGUGUCUGGCCACAUGGACCUAAAAUGUGCUUUAAACCACAAGUUUAUCAUUUCCUACUUUUUUGGGCAUUAAACAACUCAAAAAUCAUUCGUAUCCCCAUACAUACUCAAAACACGAUCAAACAUACUCAAAACAUGCCAAAAUAAUCAUCCUAAGUGCCUAACAAAUGUAUCCCCAUUGGUACCACAAUUAUAUCAUCAAAAUAUAUCAUCAAUGCAUCAAUCAAAUCAAAAUUUUAAACAUGCCAAAUUUCAUCAAUUUGGUCUAACUCAUAUCUACCUAAAACAUCAACUUAUAUUCACAUACAUAUAACAAACAUUUGUUCAAAACAACAUGCCAAAUUAUGGCUUCAAAUACAAACAUAUAUUUAUAUACUCAAACCAAUAUUACACUUAUAAUUUCAUUUACAAUCCAUCCACAAAAUAACUUUCAACUUGACAUCUUAGGUACAUGUCAACACAAAAGGUAAACAUCACCAUAUUUGAGAUUGGAAUCGUUGCUGGAUGCUGAAUCGACUAUCAGAAGAAAAAUAUCUAAUUUGUGCACGGAAAACAAAACCGUACGCUAAGUAAAACUCAAUAAUAUUUCUAUAAUUUGAACAUUUAAAGAUAAGAGAAUACAAAAUGCACAAUUGAAUUAUAAACAAGUAUUAAUGUCUAAUAUCACAACUAACAUAUGCCACCCUUUUGAAUUCAUACAUAAUAGCAUAUCAUUUCUUACUAUAUUCAAUUUAUACAUGUUAUCAUAUUCAAUUUAUUUAACAAAUAUCCCAAUUCACACACUUACUAUAUAAAUAACUUUUCACACAUCAAGCCACAAUUUUUUAUACCAUGGCAUUAUCCAUUCAACAUUCAAUUCAUGAGUAUAUAACUUUCUUAUUUAAUCACAACAUACUUUUUUUUUCAUACUUCAAAUCACUAUCUCAUUUUUAAUUCAUAUACAAUAUAAUUCAAUAUCUAUUACAAAACUUUAUUAUUUAAUUACCCUUAUUAACACGGCUCGAACUCAGACGGAUACACGAAUCUAACCAACAUACCAGUAUAGCACCCAGUGCCUCAUCGGAUAAAUCCAAAAUAAUAACUAUGCCCAAUGCUAUAUAAUUUGACAUCCAAUGUCUCAUCGAUUUAAUCGAAGCCAAUUGGCACUCAGUGCCUAAUCGACUCGAAGUCGAAGAAAUCCCUAAACUUUUCCUAUUCGAUGACAUACCAUCUAUAUCUGACUCAGCCAGAUACAAUUAAUAGGAUUUAAUUUUACAUUUCAAAUACAACCAAUAUCCAAUUCUCACAUUUACACAUAUAUUCAUUUCAAUUCAAAUAAUCAAUAUAUUCAUAAUGUAUAUACCAAUUCAAUCCAUUUCAAUCAAUUAUCAAAAUGCGCAUUGAAUCGAAUUAAAACAAUUAACAACUAAGUUCGGAUUUAUAGAAAUACAAAUCGUAGAUUCUGAGCUCUUCGACGUCGAUUUUAUCCUUUCCCUUUUUAAUCGAAGAUUUCAGUACAAUAUUAGUUACAGAAUUAAAAUACAUUAAUUCAACACAAUUCAAUUUCACAUUAACUAUUUAAAAUUUUACUCAAUAUUUACUUAAAUUUUAAUUUAAUUCCUAAAUCGAGACUAAUUUUUAUUCUUCAUAUUUAAUCCUAUAUUUUUAUAAUAAUUUCACUUUAAGCUAAAUUUAACUUCCUAUUUUCAAUUAAAUCUCUAAAUUUUAUUUUUUUCACAAUUUAAUCCCUAUUAUACAAAAUUUACAAUUUAUUCUAUAACUUAAUCCUUUCUUAUUUCUAGCUUAUAAAUUUAUAAAUUUAAUCCUUAAUACUAAAAUUAUCCAACAUUAACAUUUAAAAUCUUAAUAAUUACUAAAAUUUCAACAUGAGUAAGAUAAUAUUAAGCACCAAAAUUCCAAAAAUAUAAAAAUUACAAAAAAAAAUUAAAUUUACUAACCAAUUUAAAUUUAAACCAUAAAAACCCUUAGAUACCAUGCGUCAUUCCUUCUUUUCUUCUUUCUUUUAUUUUGCAUGUCUUUCUCUUCCUUUUUCCACUUACUUUCUUUUAAUCUCUUUUAUUAUUACAUAUAUUAUGUUUUUUUCAUAUAUUAUAUAUUAUAUAAUAUAUGUUUCCAUACUUUUAAAUUUACUAACUAUUAUAAUAUAAAUAUCAUAUUAUUAAUUGUUUUAACUUAUUUACCGUCCACUUAAAAGAAACAAAGAUAAAAUUACUUUUUAAGUCCCUUUAAUUAUUUUUAAAUUAUAAUUUAACUUCUACCCGGAACGUAAUUAGUAAUUAUUUAUUAAAAAUAUUUAUUAAAAAUAUUUAUGAAUCCGAAUUACGGAGUUCUAAAAAUGUACUUUUCGACACUCCUUACUAUAGGGUCAGUUACAGGCGCGACCUGUGACUAUAGGCUGGUCUGUUGUGCUCUAUGGAUAACCUGGAGUGAACGAAACAAAGCUCUUCAUGAAGGAAUCAAAAACACGGGAAAAUGGGCAGUAACAUUGACUAAGAAUUAUCUUCUAGAGUUAGAUGGAUUAGCAGGAAAGGAAAUUACCAGAAGAAAUAUCUUGUCAACAUGGACUCCCCCUAAAGAUCCUUUCAUCCGUAUUAACUUUGACGCUGCUUUUGACCAAAAGGAGUUUAGAUCAAGUUCAGGUGUUAUUGUUAGAAAUGGAAGGGAGGAAGCUCUGCUUACCAAGUCAUCAUUGCAUGAAGGCGUUGAGUCCCCUUUUGCGGCGGAGGCUUUAGCAUGUGCGGAAGCAAUAGCAGUGGGUCGACGUUUGGAAAUCGACACGGUCGAGAUCGAAGGAGAUUCAUUAGUGGUCAUUAAAAAAUGUCAAUCUAAAGAAAAUGACAGAUCUGAAAUUGGCAGUAUUAUUAGAAAUAUCCAUCAACAUGAACGCUACUUCAAAGAAAUUUAUUUCAGGCACAUUUCCAGAACAGAUAAUCAGUCGGCUCAUGUGAUAGCAUCGGAAUCGUUAAAACGGAGGUUGGAGAUUUUACUGGUAAGAGCAAUACCGGAGUUUGCUAGAAGAUCUUUCGGACUAGGUACGCAUCGAGCAAGAGAACUAGAUUGAGUGAUGGUCAUCGAUGAUUGAAUCGGUUAGGAGUGCAGAAAUGGUGAACUCUCAUCAGGAGAUCUGCGCUUGGAAAAUGAAUCGAUAGAGGAACUGAAAAGAUAAUUCUAGAACACAGAGAAGUUGUGGAGUCAUUUCUUGUCCAGGCUGGUUUCGUUUUAUUUUGCUUUUAGUUUCCUUUUUCUGUUUCUUUUGUUUUUUCGGAUUGGGCUUCAUUGUUUGCUGGGUUGCCUUGAUGGGUCAGACUUAUUUUUUUGAUUUGUUUCUUUUAUUAAUCCAGCCCAGUUAUUUAUAAAAAAAAUUGUAUACUCC